RNAcentral lists this ribosomal RNA (265 nucleotides) under uncultured Desulfobotulus sp. RNAcentral describes it as "partial 16S ribosomal RNA". It matches the Rfam family "Bacterial small subunit ribosomal RNA", at positions 1117 to 1382 of the family's 1533-position model. Lineage: Bacteria; Pseudomonadati; Thermodesulfobacteriota; Desulfobacteria; Desulfobacterales; Desulfobacteraceae. The record is from RNAcentral.
GCCAGCACGUAAAGGUGGGAACUCUGAAGAUACUGCCCCGGUUAACGGGAGGAAGGUGGGGAUGACGUCAAGUCCUCAUGGCCCUUAUGCCCAGGGCUACACACGUGCUACAAUGGCAUAUACAAAGGGUCGCGAUACCGCGAGGUGGAGCCAAUCCCAUAAAGUAUGCCACAGUUCGGAUUGGAGUCUGCAACUCGACUCCAUGAAGUUGGAAUCGCUAGUAAUCGCAGAUCAGCAUGCUGCGGUGAAUACGUUCCCGGGCCUU